Molecule: long non-coding RNA, 538 nt
Organism: Aphidius gifuensis
Lineage: Eukaryota; Metazoa; Arthropoda; Insecta; Hymenoptera; Braconidae
Exons: 2
Source: RefSeq, a predicted model, not a curated record
UUGGUCAUCUCGUGACGAUCCAUCUGGUCGACACUGUGUCUCUCUUUAAAGUAUUAAUUCUUGUGGAUUGCGAGAAAUGAAUACGAAGCACUACAAUGCCAUUUUUACAAUAAAUAUAUAUUAUGUGAUAAAAGCUGCAAAUUUUAUACUAACGAAUACAAAAGAAGAGAGACUAGGUUUAUAAAAAUUUGAGGGUAGUAUUUUAAAAUUCAGUGAUGGUCAACAAGGAAGAAAGAAGAGUAAAAAUAAAAUUAAAAAACAACAAUGAUGACAACAACAGUAACAACAACAAAAAACAAGAAAGAUAAAAAAAAAAAAAUAUGGGAGAGCAUGUUGGAAAACAAAUGGUCGACUUGACAGCUCCACUUGGGUUGAACGAAGUUGAGAUGGAACGAAAUAAGUAACUGAAUAGUUGAGGCAGAUGAACAAAGAUACUAAAAGAGUAAAACGGCAGAAACGUAUCCACGGUGGGGCGUGGAAUUGAGAUAAGAAAAAUAAAGAAGCUCAAAAAGUAAAAGAAGCAAAAAAAAAAAAAAAA